CCUGAAUGAAGAUUCUCCCUCACUCAGACAUCGACAACUUCCGUGUUCCUUGUUGUAUAUACUUUAUUUACUUUCACAUUUUUUACUUUCCCUGGCGUUUUAUACCUUGGAUUACUAUUGUUUAAAUUGGAACUUAGAAUUUUCAAUCAUGGGAAGGUCAAGGUACGCUAUAAAGAAAGAAACCUUCCAAUUCACCAGGUUAGAGAUGCAGUUGCUGUUUUGAAUGCUCAAGAGUUGAUUACAAAGAAGAACAAGCUUCGAAGCCGACAGAAGAAAUUGAAAGCAUGUGACCUCUCUUCCCUCACAGAGUUCCUCCCUGAGUUGAAGCCUCCCCGGCAAUCAAAACCUGUUGCUGAGUUUAAAUUGAAUUCUUAAACAAGGCAAAAACUAAUAUUGAAGGAAGGGAAACGGUUGAGUAUGGUUCUUAACCAUCAAGCUUUCCAGGCAGAUCCCCUGGGAUCCAUUCAUCAACACUACUGAGCACACAACCUGUUGCAGAGGAGAAGCCGAAGAAAAAAAUAAACAAAAAAGGAGGGAAGAAAGUCAAGGGGAAAAAUUGAAAGCAUCAACUGCACCUCAGUCUAUGGAUUUCUGAUGAGCCAUAAUGUCCAUAUCGUACCCUAAGAAUUCAGUCACUCAAAAUCUUGAUUAUUACUUCCCUUGCACGUUUAAUCGUGUUGAAAAUUGUAAUCAAGCGGGCAGUCCUAUAGGAUGCUCCAUCUUUGGAGUGGUGUAAUUGAACCUCUUUUUCUGGGCACAUUUUACAUGACAAUAUAUGGAGUCAUAUCCUUUUGUUGUAGCCUUCUGCAUUAUGCCCAGAAUAAUUACUUUUCAGCUGGAAUAGCAAGGACCAAGUCACAAAUGUAUCCGAGCAUUCAAGUUUAAAUGAAAAUUGGAUGGUCAAUCAUA
Populus trichocarpa (black cottonwood) is the source of this 909-nucleotide long non-coding RNA. RefSeq lists it as uncharacterized. The transcript is spliced from 4 exons. Lineage: Eukaryota; Viridiplantae; Streptophyta; Magnoliopsida; Malpighiales; Salicaceae. The record is from RefSeq and is a predicted model, not a curated record.